Molecule: ribosomal RNA, 506 nt
Filed under: uncultured bacterium
Lineage: Bacteria
Description: partial 16S ribosomal RNA
Rfam family: Bacterial small subunit ribosomal RNA
Source: RNAcentral
AUUGAACGCUGGCGGCAGGCCUAACACAUGCAAGUCGAACGGUAACAGGAAGAAGCUUGCUUCUUUGCUGACGAGUGGCGGACGGGUGAGUAAUGUCUGGGAAACUGCCUGAUGGAGGGGGAUAACUACUGGAAACGGUAGCUAAUACCGCAUAACGUCGCAAGACCAAAGUGGGGGACCUUCGGGCCUCACACCAUCGGAUGUGCCCAGAUGGGACUAGCUAGUAGGUGGGGUAAUGGCUCACCUAGGCGACGAUCCCUAGCUGGUCUGAGAGGAUGACCAGCCACACUGGAACUGAGACACGGUCAAGACUCCUACGGGAGGCAGCAGUGGGGAAUAUUGCACAAUGGGCGCAAGCCUGAUGCAGCCAUGCCGCGUGUAUGAAGAAGGCCUUCGGGUUGUAAAGUACUUUCAGCGAGGAGGAAGGCAUUGUGGUUAAUAACCACAGUGAUUGACGUUACUCGCAGAAGAAGCACCGGCUAACUCCGUGCCAGCAGCCGCAGUAA